ACAGGAGUUUCUGCGAGAGAAUUUUUGUAUGUGGUUAAUUAGCUCCUCUGCUCUAUCUAGAAUUGUUCUAGCUGUGUACCAUCUUUCAGGAAACCAGUGAAGAAGCCGCAUUCUAAGCUCUGGGUGAUGGGAGACCAGAAGUGGCAGCUUGUAAAGAGAGAGACACAGCAAGAGAGGGAACACCAGCAGGUGGAGUGGAAGAGGGA
Molecule: long non-coding RNA, 206 nt
Organism: Ailuropoda melanoleuca (giant panda)
Lineage: Eukaryota; Metazoa; Chordata; Mammalia; Carnivora; Ursidae
Exons: 3
Source: RefSeq, a predicted model, not a curated record